This 62-nucleotide microRNA precursor is filed under the name Ciona intestinalis (vase tunicate). RNAcentral describes it as "microRNA cin-mir-4053 precursor". The record is from miRBase by way of RNAcentral. Lineage: Eukaryota; Metazoa; Chordata; Ascidiacea; Phlebobranchia; Cionidae.
CGCCGGGGUAUGACGUCGUACUGUGACGUAGGUUGCGCAGUAGUACGUCGUUCUCCGGACGG